UCACGAUAAGGGCAAACCCUGAGUGAUCAGGGGACGCAAAGGAAAGGGUCUUUCAGCGCACAGGGAAGUGUGAGGGGAUCAGAAAAGUCCUUUGGAAUAAUUUAGGGAAGUAGUUGAGAAAGAUAGCCUUACUGCCGGA
RNAcentral lists this non-coding RNA (139 nucleotides) under Candidatus Brocadia. Its description in RNAcentral is "c-di-GMP sequence". It matches the Rfam family "c-di-GMP-I riboswitch aptamer". From Rfam's summary of the family: GEMM was predicted in a large-scale screen for bacterial structured RNA regulatory elements. Genes associated with GEMM are involved in a diverse array of functions, including chemotaxis regulation, signal transduction, secretion and chitin. RNAcentral also lists the same sequence under 1 other name. Lineage: Bacteria; Pseudomonadati; Planctomycetota; Candidatus Brocadiia; Candidatus Brocadiales; Candidatus Brocadiaceae. The record is from RNAcentral.